GUGGGUGGCGAGUGGCGGACGGGUGAGUAAUGCAUCGGGACCUGCCCAGACGUGGGGGAUAACGUAGGGAAACUUACGCUAAUACCGCAUACGUCCUACGGGAGAAAGCGGGGGAUCGAAAGACCUCGCGCGGUUGGAUGGACCGAUGUUCGAUUAGCUAGUUGGUGAGGUAAUGGCUCACCAAGGCGACGAUCGAUAGCUGGUCUGAGAGGAUGAUCAGCCACACUGGGACUGAGACACGGCCCAGACUCCUACGGGAGGCAGCAGUGGGGAAUAUUGGACAAUGGGCGAAAGCCUGAUCCAGCAAUGCCGCGUGUGUGAAGAAGGCCUUCGGGUUGUAAAGCACUUUUAUCAGGAGCGAAAUACUGCCGGCUAAUACCCGGUGGGGCUGACGGUACCUGAGGAAUAAGCACCGGCUAACUUCGUGCCAGCAGCCGCGGUAAUACGAAGGGUGCAAGCGUUAAUCGGAAUUACUGGGCGUAAAGCGUGCGUAGGCGGUUCUUUAAGUCUGCUGUGAAAUCCCCGGGCUCAACCUGGGAAUGGCAGUGGAUACUGGAGAGCUAGAGUGUGAUAGAGGAUGGUGGAAUUCCCGGUGUAGCGGUGAAAUGCGUAGAGAUCGGGAGGAACAUCAGUGGCGAAGGCGGCCAUCUGGAUCAACA
Molecule: ribosomal RNA, 659 nt
Filed under: Dyella sp. EECC-260
Lineage: Bacteria; Pseudomonadati; Pseudomonadota; Gammaproteobacteria; Lysobacterales; Rhodanobacteraceae
Description: bacterial SSU rRNA
Rfam family: Bacterial small subunit ribosomal RNA
Source: RNAcentral